This 1860-nucleotide long non-coding RNA is filed under the name Sorghum bicolor (sorghum). Its description in RNAcentral is "long non-coding RNA (SBIC_LNC012248)". Lineage: Eukaryota; Viridiplantae; Streptophyta; Magnoliopsida; Poales; Poaceae. The record is from RNAcentral.
GCCAACGGGAACACAAGCUUGCAGAGGUACAUCAUCAACAAUAGGAAUUCAAUUGGUAGCAAUGGGUAGGCCCAAGUGGCGUCGGCCGACCCCGCCUUGGAGCCCUGGACCCACCAAUCAGCAUCCACUCAACAACUACCUACCUCCUGGUUUGCGACUCCUACUCCCCCUCUAUUCUUUCAUUUUUAUUACUUCUGUCUCUUGUUUGCUUUAUUAGAUAAAAUAAAACAAAAAUAAAAACAAGAAGACUUGGAUCUAUGAUUUAUGACAUUAAAAGUGUGACAUGAUUCAUGACAUUGAAAGGGUAAAAGUGUCACAAAGUCUAAUUCUUGCAUAUGCAUAUACUUGUGGGUCACACAACUUGAUAGGAAUAUCAGAUUGACUUGGUUGUUGACAAAUUGUGAUAUAGUUCUUAGCUCAAGAUUCAUACCCUUUCUAUUCAAAGUGCUUAGAGAUUUAUUUUUGAAAAUAUCAUAAAACCAUAGUGUCACUUACUCCUCAAUAGUAAGAGAAUUCCUACCACAGCCAUAUAUGUUCAAAACCCUUCUAUACAUGCUACUUAUACUUGUGUUGAGUUUAGUCAAACCUUGUGACCCUAGUUAAGAAUUAUGCCAUAGCCCCAAGAUCAAGGUCACACACACACCACAUAUAUAUGCUGCUUCUACAUUGGAAGUAUGCAAAAACAUGCCAUCUAUUUCCACCAUAUAGAUGCUCCAUGUUUUAAGGUUUAGAAUAUCUCUCUCUAAGUAUUGGUUAUGAGAUGAGACACAAAGGCUAUGCUUAGUAAAAAAAAGUGGGCACAUGAAGGUCCAUUGCUUUUGAAAAAAGAGAAAAAAAUAAAAAAACUAGCCAUGCCACAAAUAAAAUAGAGAGAGAGAUCUUAUCAAAUAUAGGAGCAUUCUAUUCUAAUCAUUUUUCACACACUUACACAUCUUGAUCUAGGAUUAUAACACUUACACAAUGCAAGUAUGCUAUCUUGUUUCACCCUACCUGAGCCCCAUAAGCCUCAUAGAUGUAGGAUGAAACAAAAGAAGGCAAUCUUAUGCUAUGCCUUGGUGAGAAAUCCUAUACUUACUGAGUGACUUGAGAGUACUAUUGGAGGAGUAAGGAUGAACUAUGUGCUUUCUUUUAAAAUAUUUAUCAAAAACUCUAAGUACAAAGAAUAUGAAAAUGGGAAGAUGACUUUGCUUUGAGAACUGUUCCAUUCUUCAACAUCCUAAGGAUAUAUGUUAGACAGUGUCACAUAACCCACUUGUAUAAGAUAUGUCUUGAGUAGUCUUUGUGUUUUCUUAUAUCUUAAAAGUGUCAUAAUCAUAGGUUAUCUUUCUCUAACCUUUGCUCGAGGAUGAUCAAAGACUUAAGUGUGGGGGUUCUUGUUGAUGGGAAAUAAGACUGAGUUCUAUAUACUCAAAAGCCCAUCAACAGUCCUUGAUUGAAGGAAGAUAAGCAUCACAUGAACAUAUUUAUCACUAAUAAAUUUCCACUUGUAGUCUUAGCUUGUUCAAUGCAGGGAAGAAGGAAAUGAGCCCUAUGGGCCCCAUAACCUCAGUCGGCCGACCAUGGUUUGGGCCGACCAGGGGCUCCCUCCAUGGCAUACUUCAAGGAGAAAAUCCCAACCCUUGGAUCCAAGUGUGCUUGCCCUCAACGUUUCAAACACUUAGCACAUGGAUCCUUGGGCUUGUUGGGCAUUCUUACCGUCACUACCAAAAGUAGACUUAGUUUUAACGGCGCCAAAAAUGCCAAACCUAUCCCUCAUGCCACUUAAGCCAAGUUGUCAUCCCCAGCAUGACAUGAGAGACUCGGUAUUGAAAUAUGCAAUUGCUCUUCAGAAUAAAUAAUAAAUAAGAUCUACAAGCGCAC